AAGUCGUAACAAGGUUUCCGUAGGUGAACCUGCGGAAGGAUCAUUAAUGAAGCACAUUUAUUUUGCGGAGUUUCUCUGCAAUCUAAAUCCACCCCAUAUUGUGAAUUUAAACCUCAACCAAUUUUUCCCCUUCGCAAGAGGGGGAAAGAACAAUAAACAAAUUUUAUAUUUUAAUCCAAAAAACACAAAUAAUAAAAAAACAAAACUUUCAACAACGGAUCUCUUGGCUU
RNAcentral lists this unclassified non-coding RNA (230 nucleotides) under fungal sp. RNAcentral describes it as "partial internal transcribed spacer region". The stretch from base 1 to 46 matches the Rfam family "Eukaryotic small subunit ribosomal RNA", at positions 1786 to 1831 of the family's 1831-position model. The record is from RNAcentral. Lineage: Eukaryota; Fungi.